Molecule: ribosomal RNA, 253 nt
Filed under: uncultured bacterium
Lineage: Bacteria
Description: partial 16S ribosomal RNA
Rfam family: Bacterial small subunit ribosomal RNA
Source: RNAcentral
UACGUAGGGUGCAAGCGUUAAUCGGAUUUACUGGGCGUAAAGCGUGUGCAGGCGGCUCCGCAAGUCAGGUGUGAAAUCCCCGGGCUUAACCUGGGAAUUGCGCUUGAAACUAUGGAGCUAGAGUGCGGCAGAGGGGGGUGGAAUUCCACGUGUAGCAGUGAAAUGCGUAGAGAUGUGGAGGAACACCGAUGGCGAAGGCAGCCCCCUGGGCCGUUACUGACGCUCAUACACGAAAGCGUGGGGAGCAAACAGG